CUAUACGGGAGGCAGCAGUGGGGAAUAUUGCACAAUGGGCGCAAGCCUGAUGCAGCCAUGCCGCGUGUGUGAAGAAGGCCUUAGGGUUGUAAAGCACUUUCAGUAAGGAGGAAAGGUUAGUAGUUAAUACCUGCUAGCUGUGACGUUACUUACAGAAGAAGCACCGGCUAACUCCGUGCCAGCAGCCGCGGUAAUACGGAGGGUGCGAGCGUUAAUCGGAAUUACUGGGCGUAAAGCGUACGCAGGCGGUUUGUUAAGCGAGAUGUGAAAGCCCCGGGCUCAACCUGGGAACUGCAUUUCGAACUGGCAAACUAGAGUAUGAUAGAGGGUGGUAGAAUUUCAGGUGUAGCGGUGAAAUGCGUAGAGAUCUGAAGGAAUACCGAUGGCGAAGGCAGCCACCUGGGUCAAUACUGACGCUCAUGUACAAAAGCGUGGGGAGCAAACGGGAUUAGAUACCCCGGUAGUCCACGCCGUAAACGAUGUCUACUAGGAGCUGGGGUCUUCGGACAACUUUUUCAAAGCUAACGCAUUAAUUAGACCGCCU
RNAcentral lists this ribosomal RNA (544 nucleotides) under bacterium A4T_VP5_F12. Its description in RNAcentral is "bacterial SSU rRNA". It matches the Rfam family "Bacterial small subunit ribosomal RNA", at positions 339 to 874 of the family's 1533-position model. The record is from RNAcentral.